GACGUAGGGCGCGAGCGUUGUCCGGAUUUAUUGGGCGUAAAGAGCUCGUAGGCGGCUUGUCGCGUCGAAUGUGAAAUCUCAGGGCUCAACUCUGACAUUGCAUUCGAUACGGGCAGGCUCGAGUUCGGUAGGGGAGACUGGAAUUCCUGGUGUAGCGGUGAAAUGCGCAGAUAUCAGGAGGAACACCGGUGGCGAAGGCGGGUCUCUGGGCCGAUAUCGACGCUGAGGCACGAAAGCGUGGGGAGCGAACAGG
This 253-nucleotide ribosomal RNA is filed under the name uncultured bacterium. Its description in RNAcentral is "partial 16S ribosomal RNA". It matches the Rfam family "Bacterial small subunit ribosomal RNA", at positions 524 to 776 of the family's 1533-position model. The record is from RNAcentral.